GGUGGCUCAGUGGUAGGGCACUUGCCUUGCAUGCAUGAGGCCCUGGGUUCGAUUCCCCAGUACCA
This 65-nucleotide transfer RNA is filed under the name Dipodomys ordii (Ord's kangaroo rat). It matches the Rfam family "tRNA". From Rfam's summary of the family: Transfer RNA (tRNA) molecules are approximately 80 nucleotides in length. Lineage: Eukaryota; Metazoa; Chordata; Mammalia; Rodentia; Heteromyidae. The record is from Rfam by way of RNAcentral.